This is a long non-coding RNA of Vidua chalybeata, 563 nucleotides long. RefSeq lists it as uncharacterized. The transcript has 3 exons. The record is from RefSeq and is a predicted model, not a curated record. NCBI's taxonomy places the organism in Eukaryota, Metazoa, Chordata, Aves, Passeriformes, Viduidae.
CCCAGGAUUACAAGCAUGGCAUAGCUGAUAACGCUCUGCAGCCCAGACUCCAGCUCCUGUGCACAGCCCUGCCACGAAAGAGAGAGACCUGCUGGCUUAUUUCCUCCUGCGUGAGGAGAGGCGCUGAGAGAGUGGCAUUUACUGACAUUUGCUGCAUCUGGAUUUCCUCUAGCUCAGUCAUUUAAACAAGAGCCCAAAAUGCAGAGCCAGAAUGGCCAUCUAUGAUACCUACAGAAGUCAACUUAGCGGCUUAUCCCCAGACUGGAGAACCUGGCAACCUUGAGGCCCUGGCAGGGGCUCUGAGCUCUCCCUGGAGCCUUCUCUUGUGCAGCUGAACAGCCCCAGCUCUGCCCAGAGGGGCUCCAGCCCUCAGAGCAUCGUCAUCCUCCAGAUUCAGCGUGGUCAAUCCCAGAUCAGUCUGUUCCCCUGCCCCAGACCUGUUUCAACAACUACAGCUAUGGCCAUAUCCCUAAACUCUGCCUGGCGUGCUUCCCUCCACGGUUCCACCUGGCUGAAAAAUGGAACAUGGCCUAACUGAACAUGGCCCAAACCGAGCCCCUCAU